Aegilops tauschii subsp. strangulata is the source of this 3879-nucleotide non-coding RNA. The record is from RefSeq and is a predicted model, not a curated record. NCBI's taxonomy places the organism in Eukaryota, Viridiplantae, Streptophyta, Magnoliopsida, Poales, Poaceae.
GCUGAAAUCUUAUCUCUUCCUCGAGCUGAUCCUCUCAAUCUCACCUUUUCCUCUAUCUUUCCCUCCCCACAGCAGUCAUGGCCUUGCCUGCUCGAUCGCAAGUUUGCUGCCAUGGAACAGCUCCAAGCCUGCUCCUGCGAGCACCUCCACAGCCACCACAAAAAACACGAGCUCAUUGCUGGGCAUGGCCCCCGUUUUGCAACUCCGCGACCCUCCUAUGCCCCUCCCUCACGCAGCAGCCAUGGCCGGUGGAAAUUCUGACAUAUUUUUUUUGCCAACCGGUUGUAGCUCUUUGGAUCGCCGGUAGUAGCUUCUGCUAAACCGGUUGCAUCUUUUUUAAAUCAUCUCGUUCAAGCUUUUUCUUCAAAAAUCUGUUUCUUGCAUCAUUUUUCCUAAAAUCACCGGUUCCAUCUUUUAAAAUAACUGGUUGUAGCAUUUUGUUCAACUGGUUGUAGCAUUCCGUUCAAGCGCAAGCUUUUUGCUACAAUUGUAGCCUGUUUUGCUACCACUGGUAAAUCUUUUUGCUACAGGCAUGCACGGCGGUGUUGGUCGAUGGCGGUGAUGCUUUUUUUUGCUGCAACCUUUUCCGAGUUUGCUGGAACGAGCGCCCAAAUUUUCUACCAUCGUCUUUUUGAUUUUGCUGGAAGGAGCCGCCCAAAAUGCUUCCACCGGAUUUGGCUUUUGCUGGAACCCGCUCCAUAAAUUGCUACCACCAGCCUUUUGGCUGCGAGCAUGCCGUCGCCUACCAUUGAUGUUGCAACCGGUAUGGUGCGGCCGACGUUCAUGGUGUGACGAGCUGCAACUAAGGGUCUGCUCUAUUUUUUGUUACAACCAUCAUCGGCGUUUGCUACAACCGAUAAUGAAAUUUGCUGCGACGAAAAUGGCCAUGCGUUUGCAACCAGCAAGGGGUCUUCCUCCAUGGCGACGGCAAGCUCGGGGUGGCCGGUGAGCACGCGGCGGCCGAGGGCGAGCGCGCGGCGGGCGAGGGCGAGAACAACAGCCAUGUUUUCUUUGUGAUUUCUCAUAUGGAAAGGAUACAUGAAGGAGGAAAGAUGCGUUGACUCAGAUCCAACGAUGGCUGGAGGUUGCAUCCGAUGCCUGCGGGCGGACCGGCCAAAUUUUCAGUCGCCUUGGAAAAAAGGGAAAAUGUUAUACGUGUGUGGAUUUUUCGUUGGAAAAAGAGAGAGGGUUGAAACAAAAAGAUCAAUCACGUUUGCACUUGGAAAGUGCUGAUCAGGCAAAAAAGGAGCCAAUCGUUCCUUCCUUCAAAAGCUCUCACCUGAGUUUUUUUAAACACAGUAUAGACGCAAGCGCUCACAUACACACGCAUACACUCAUUCUUAUGAGUGCACACACGCACACUCUACCCCUAUGAGCACCUCCGAAAGACUGAGCCGGCAUAUCAUCUUGAAAUUUACGAAGUCGUUGUAGCACCUCGCCGUCGACGGGAAUCUCUUCUCCCAUUGAAUGUGCAUCGCCGAAAAUCUUGAAAUAAAUCCAGCAAGAAAUGCGAGCAUCAGGAUUUGAACCCUGGUGGGCUGAGGAUACCACAGUCCCUCUAACCAUCCAACCAUAGAUUGAUUCGCAGCUCUCAUGUGAGUUAUUUUUUCAAUUAUGUGUGUACAUUUGAGAAGCAAAGAGAGAGCAACCACGUACCAAAUAUUUGGAGAUAUCAUACAUACUAGUAGUUCUAGUUCGGCGAGUUAAUUUGGUAUGGUUGGCUGAAUAAAAAAGGGGAUUAUCCUGUGGUGAAAGAGAAGAGACAUACUAGUGCUAGUACUAGUUUCCGAGUUGCUGGGUCGCUUAUAAUUUUUCAUACAAUUUGUACUUGUUGCCACUGUCUGUGAAUUUCAGUUGUGUCUUAGGCUCGCGUCUCUAGCACGGUCUAGCUUAGGACCAGCACUCGUCCAUUUUUAAUGAUUUUUAGCUUGUAUUAAUUAACGUGGUUGUAGCAUUUUACCCACAUAUAUAAAGCCAAUCUAGCUCCAUAUAUUUCUACACCGUGCAUACAUACAUUCACCUUGCAAUCGCUUUACCCAACUUUUGAAGUUAUUUGACACCGCUGGUUGCCGGUCACCACCUGCUGCAUGGUAAGAACUUGUAAGAGUUUGAUAUUUGCUAUACUGUGAGCGUUCUACCACCACAUCCCAGUAGUUCAUAGGAACAUUAUUUUUGAACUUUGUUUCUUGUUUCUACUAAUCAUGACAGGAGCGACAGUCAAUUCAUGGGCUUUGUCGAUCGUGGGAGACGUGCCACCACCUAAGCAAAUACCACAACCAUCACGAGAGGUGCACAAACAUCCAAAUGCACAUGAUCAGGAGUACUAUGACAACCACAUCCGUUGUUGUGAGGACUACAUCACCUCCACCAUGUGACACAUCACCUCCAAGAGUGUCUACACCAUCUGAGUUGAUCAUAAGACGCAAUGACAAAGGUACCAAUCUUCCACCUCCACAUGAGUAUGAUGAAUGCCUUGUUAAUUUAAAUGCACCAUGCGAUGAGCUACCCACUACUUUGAUCACACCAUCUAUUUUAGAGGACUAUGUUGAUGAUUUGACCUUGACAUGUGAUCAAACAAUUUUGAGUGAACCCAUUAAAUUAACUAUUGAUGCGAAAGAACCAUGUGAACCAGGGAAUAAAUCAGAUUUGGAUCAAAUACAUUUGAAAAUAAUUGUGCCAAUGUUUACUCAUUUUGAUAUGACCUCUAAUCUCGGUGAUGGUUAAUCAAGGUUGGGAUGGUUAAUGGUAAGCAUUGUCAAUCUUAUACAAUGUGUACACCUUGUAUCUUUUCUUAGCCACAUUUUAGUUUAUGCAAUGUCGAGGAUGACUUUGUUUUCAAGAAGGGGAGGAUGAUGAGGACAUGGCUACCAUAUUUACACCCACAGCCCCUGCUGCUAUACCUAAUGGGUCAACUACUAGAGCUUGCGCAUGGCAGUUGAAUUAUCAGGUACUUUCAUUUCUUGGUCAUGUUUCUAAUGUUCAUGAGAAUGUGAUGCUGCCUAACUUAGAUACAUUUGUAUUGCUUACAGUUGAAGCGCGGAGCAUGGACAAGAAGAAUGAACACUGUUGCAUGAUCAAGCUUUGUGAUGAAGGAAUAGACAUUCAUGGUCAGGUUGAUCGUGCUCCGGCGUGGUCAAUAACCUCUUGGAGUUGGUUUAGCGAUUGCUAAGGCGCAACGUCGUGCACGUUUGUAGUCGGAUCAUCAAAGUCGACUCCACCAAACCGAUAGUUAUCAUCUCAUCGAAAGAUCGGGCCCCUCACUUGAUCAUGCUCCGGCGUGCACAUUUGAGAUGAAUUUUAUGAAGAAUUAUUUUGGAAUAUACAAAAAAUAUUGGAGGAGGCCACCCAGGUGGCCACUAGGCACCAGGGCGCGCCACCCCCUCCAGGCGCGCCCUGGUGGGUAGUGGGCUCCCUAGCCCACCUCCGGCGCCCAUCUUCUGGUACAUAAGGUCUUUUGACCUAGAAAAAAAGGAGAGGACUUUCAGGGCGGAGAGCCGCCGCCUUGAGGCGGAACUUGGGCAGGAGCACUUUUGGUCUCCCACGGAGCAAUUCCGUCGGGGAUACUUCCCUCCGGGAGGGGGAAAUCAAAGCCAUCAUCAUCACCAACAACCCUCUCACCUUGGGAGGAUCAAUCUUCAUCAGCAUCUUCACUAGCACCAUGUCAUCUUAAAACCCUAGUUCAUCUCUUGUCUUCAAUCUUGUGUCAAAACCUCAGAUUGGUACCUGUGUGUGACUAGUAGUGUUGAUUACAUCUUGUAGUUGAUGCUAGUUGGUUUAUUUGGUGGAAAUCGUAUGUUCAGAUCCAUUAUGCUAUUUAUUACUCCUCUAAUCCUGAGCAUGAAUAUUAUUUGUGAGUAGUUGCUUUUGUGUUUGAGGACA